Cyanistes caeruleus (blue tit) is the source of this 427-nucleotide non-coding RNA. The record is from RefSeq and is a predicted model, not a curated record. NCBI's taxonomy places the organism in Eukaryota, Metazoa, Chordata, Aves, Passeriformes, Paridae.
UCAUUUAGGACUUCGGUGGGGAGGGGGAAAUGAGCGCUAAUAAAGCAGGCUGUUUGCAUGGGAUCGCCAUGGAGACAAGGGAAGCAGAGUCAUAAUUAAACGCUUUCUGCCCACCAGAAGAGUAAUUCUAAAUGUCUGUUGGUGGUGACUCAGUGAUUUCAGAUCGUCAGAAUCUAAGCAGUGUUGAGACCUUUAGGAAAAAAAAAAAGAAACAAAUAGCUACAUCACUUUGAUGUGAUGUGAUUGCACGGAAAGGCAGAACAACAAGCUGGAAGCAAAGGCAGGAGCAUGGAAUAACUCAGUAGCUGGCUGGUUCAAAUAUCCUUAGAUGCUGAUUUUUGAGACGUCCUCACACUCACAGUCCUGACUAAUGCCAGCAGAAGCUGCAAUUACUCCAAGCCUUGAACAAUAAAGGCUUCAUGAUAAA